GAUGAACGCUGGCGGCGUGCCUAAUACAUGCAAGUCGAGCGAACAGACGAGUAGCUUGCUCCUCUGACGUUAGCGGCGGACGGGUUAGUAACACGUGGAUAACCUACCUAUAAGACUGGGAUCACUUCGUGAAACCGGAGCUAAUACCGGAUAAUAUAUUGAACCGCAUGGUUCAAUAGUGAAAGACGGUUUUGCUGUCACUUAUAGAUGGAUCCGCGCCGCAUUAGCUAGUUGGUAAGGUAACGGCUUACCAAGGCAACGAUGCGUAGCCGACCUGAGAGGGUGAUCGGCCACACUGGAACUGAGACACGGUCCAGACUCCUACGGGAGGCAGCAGUAGGGAAUCUUCCGCAAUGGGCGAAAGCCUGACGGAGCAACGCCGCGUGAGUGAUGAAGGUCUUCGGAUCGUAAAACUCUGUUAUUAGGGAAGAACAAAUGUGUAAGUAACUAUGCACGUAUUGACGGUACCUAAUCAGAAAGCAACGGCUAACUACGUG
RNAcentral lists this ribosomal RNA (497 nucleotides) under uncultured bacterium. RNAcentral describes it as "partial 16S ribosomal RNA". It matches the Rfam family "Bacterial small subunit ribosomal RNA", at positions 28 to 507 of the family's 1533-position model. The record is from RNAcentral.